Molecule: ribosomal RNA, 493 nt
Filed under: uncultured bacterium
Lineage: Bacteria
Description: bacterial SSU rRNA
Rfam family: Bacterial small subunit ribosomal RNA
Source: RNAcentral
AAAUGAAUAGACGGGGACCCGCACAAGCGGUGGAUGAUGUGGAUUAAUUCGAUGCAACGCGAAAAACCUUACCUACCCUUGACAUGCCAGGAAUCUUGGUGAGAGCCGAGAGUGCCUUCGGGAGCCUGGACACAGGUGCUGCAUGGCUGUCGUCAGCUCGUGUCGUGAGAUGUUGGGUUAAGUCCCGCAACGAGCGCAACCCUUGCCACUAAUUGCCAUCAUUGAGUUGGGCACUUUAGUGGGACUGCCGGUGACAAACCGGAGGAAGGUGGGGAUGACGUCAAGUCCUCAUGGCCCUUAUGGGUAGGGCUUCACACGUCAUACAAUGGUCGGUACAGAGGGUUGCCAAGCCGCGAGGUGGAGCCAAUCCCAAAAAGCCGAUCGUAGUCCGGAUCGUAGUCUGCAACUCGACUACGUGAAGUCGGAAUCGCUAGUAAUCGCGGAUCAGCAUGUCGCGGUGAAUACGUUCCCGGGUCUUGUACACACCGCCCGU